AUGGAAGCAGAAUGGUUCUCGGGUAUCAAGGCUGUCACCUCAACCGCCACGACAGUGGUAUCUGGUUUAAAUGAUUGGAUUGCUUUUCUUCAAUGGUUCCAGCCAGACAAAACUUUGGAGAAUGGACAGCUGCAGGAGGAGCUCUGGAAACUCGAGACAACAAUGCCAAUGAUGCAGGAAAUGAUCGAUAAAGCAGAGUGGUCAAGUCAUAAGGACCCAGUAGCAAAACUUUUAGAAGAACUCAAGGGUGUCUUUUAUGAUAGUGAAGAUACUCUUGAUGAUCUGAACUAUUACGUGCUGAAAUCAAAGAUAGAGAAAGGUGCACUGCCAACAGAUUUCACUAAGAGCACAGUCUGCUGUGGCUUUGGUAAAGUGAAGGAACUGCAAAGAAGGGCCGAACAUCUGAUGACUCAGUUGAAUUUCAUGGUUUCACACAACGAGAGGCAUUUUGUGAAGUCAUUCAGGCCAGAAACAAGUUCUCUUCCAAAUGAACCUAAGAUCUUUGGCCGCCAAAAGGAAUUGAUGGAAAUUAUUCAAUUGCUUGGCGUGCCAGUAAGCAUCCAUAGUGGUGGGAAAAGAAAAAACAGUAAAAGUGCAACUGAUGCACUCAGCACCCAGGAAGCUUUCAUUGAUGAUGCAAGAAAUGAAGGUGUGGGUGUACUGGCUAUAACUGGCAUUGGUGGUGUAGGUAAAACAACUUUGACACAACAAAUCUACCAUCAUCCUCUGGUAGAAGCUCAUUUCGACCAACAGCUUUGGAUAUGUGUGUCCGAUGACUUUGACGUUAAGAGAUUGACAAAAGAGCUCGUACAGUCCUCAGGGGUGAAAGCAUUGUCAGAUAACCUGAAUUCUCUCCAAUCAAUACUGGCUACUGCUGUCAAGUCUAAGCGGUUUCUGCUCGUGUUAGAUGAUAUAUGGGACGAUGUUCUGACUGAAAAUGGACAAGAAUGGGAGAACUUCUGUGCUCCUCUAACACGUGGGCUUCCAGGAAGCAUUAUCCUAGUGACUACCAGGUCUGUUAAGGUAGCUAAGAAAGUGUGCACAGUUGGGACUUUUCCACUAGAAGGUUUACAAGCUGAUGCCUUCUGGGAGUUCUUCAGAUCAUGUGCAUUCAAUUGCAAGGGCUGCGAAAAUAAUGCAGAUUUAGAAACCAUUGCAAGGAAGAUUGUUCCCAAACUGAAAGGGUCUCCUCUAGCUGCCAAAACUCUUGGCCGGUUGCUAAGGGUGAAUCAUGACAUUGAACAUUGGAGAAAUGUCUUAGAUAGUGAGCUGUGGGAAUUAAAGCAAGAAAAGGAGGAGAUCUUGCCGGCUCUUAGAUUGAGCUACAUUUAUCUGCCUUUCCGUUUAAAGAGGUGUUUCUCACUGUGUGCAAUGUACCCAAAAGACCAUGUCUUUCAGAUGGAAGUUGCUGUUCACAUAUGGUGUGCCCAAGGUUUCGUGGAACCUCAAGGUCAAAUUCCUCUUUCAGAUAUUGCGCGUUCCUAUUUUCAAGAACUUAUAGACCGCUCACUCUUUCAAGAAGCUGCGGGGGCACCUGAUACAUACGUCAUUCAUGAUUUGAUCCAUGAUAUGCUCCAGUUAGUCUCAGCAAAUGAAAGUUCGUCGUAA
RNAcentral lists this ribosomal RNA (1608 nucleotides) under Triticum aestivum (bread wheat). RNAcentral describes it as "partial small subunit ribosomal RNA". Lineage: Eukaryota; Viridiplantae; Streptophyta; Magnoliopsida; Poales; Poaceae. The record is from RNAcentral.